RNAcentral lists this ribosomal RNA (253 nucleotides) under uncultured bacterium. RNAcentral's name for it is "partial 16S ribosomal RNA". It matches the Rfam family "Bacterial small subunit ribosomal RNA", at positions 524 to 776 of the family's 1533-position model. The record is from RNAcentral.
UACGUAGGGUGCGAGCGUUAAUCGGAAUUACUGGGCGUAAAGCGUGCGCAGGCGGUUUUGUAAGCCAGAUGUGAAAUCCCCGGGCUUAACCUGGGAAUGGCAUUUGGGACUGCAAGGCUUGAGUGCGGCAGAGGAGACUGGAAUUCCUGGUGUAGCAGUGAAAUGCGUAGAUAUCAGGAGGGACACCGAUGGCGAAGGCAGGUCUCUGGGCUGACACUGACGCUCAUGCACGAAAGCGUGGGGAGCAAACAGG